RNAcentral lists this ribosomal RNA (484 nucleotides) under uncultured bacterium. RNAcentral describes it as "partial 16S ribosomal RNA". It matches the Rfam family "Bacterial small subunit ribosomal RNA", at positions 28 to 507 of the family's 1533-position model. The record is from RNAcentral.
GUUGAACGCUGGCGGCAUGCUUUACACAUGCAAGUCGAACGGCAGCGCGGGCUUCGGCCUGGCGGCGCGUGGCGAACGGGUGAGUAAUACAUCGGAACGUGCCCAGUAUUGGGGGAUAGCUCGGCGAAAGCCGGAUUAAUACCGCAUACGACCUGAGGGUGAAAGCGGGGGAUCUUCGGACCUCGCGCUAUUGGAGCGGCCGAUGGCAGAUUAGCUAGUUGGUGGGGUAAAGGCCUACCAAGGCGACGAUCUGUAGCUGGUCUGAGAGGACGACCAGCCACACUGGGACUGAGACACGGCCCAGACUCCUACGGGAGGCAGCAGUGGGGAAUUUUGGACAAUGGGCGAAAGCCUGAUCCAGCAAUGCCGCGUGUGUGAUGAAGGCCUUCGGGUUGUAAAGCACUUUUGGCGGGAACGAAAAGGACUGUGCCAAUACCACGGUUCGAUGACGGUACCCGCAGAAUAAGCACCGGCUAACUACGUG